UAACCGGCGAUUUCCGAAUGGGGAAACCCAGUGUGAUUCGUCACACUAUCAUUAACUGAAUCCAUAGGUUAAUGAGGCGAACCGGGGGAACUGAAACAUCUAAGUACCCCGAGGAAAAGAAAUCAACCGAGAUUCCCCCAGUAGCGGCGAGCGAACGGGGAGCAGCCCAGAGCCUGAAUCAGUGUGUGUGUUAGUGGAAGCGUCUGGAAAGGCGCGCGAUACAGGGUGACAGCCCCGUACACAAAAAUGCACAUAUUGUGAGCUCGAUGAGUAGGGCGGGACACGUGGUAUCCUGUCUGAAUAUGGGGGGCCCAUCCUCCAAGGCUAAAUACUCCUGACUGACCGAUAGUGAACCAGUACCGUGAGGGAAAGGCGAAAAGAACCCCGGCGAGGGGAGUGAAAAAGAACCUGAAACCGUGUACGUACAAGCAGUGGGAGCACGCUUAGGCGUGUGACUGCGUACCUUUUGUAUAAUGGGUCAGCGACUUAUAUUCUGUAGCAAGGUUAACCGAAUAGGGGAGCCGAAGGGAAACCGAGUCUUAACUGGGCGUUAAGUUGCAGGGUAUAGACCCGAAACCCGGUGAUCUAGCCAUGGGCAGGUUGAAGGUUGGGUAACACUAACUGGAGGACCGAACCGACUAAUGUUGAAAAAUUAGCGGAUGACUUGUGGCUGGGGGUGAAAGGCCAAUCAAACCGGGAGAUAGCUGGUUCUCCCCGAAAGCUAUUUAGGUAGCGCCUCGUGAAUUCAUCUCCGGGGGUAGAGCACUGUUUCGGCAAGGGGGUCAUCCCGACUUACCAACCCGAUGCAAACUGCGAAUA
RNAcentral lists this ribosomal RNA (819 nucleotides) under Shigella sonnei. RNAcentral describes it as "partial 23S ribosomal RNA". It matches the Rfam family "Bacterial large subunit ribosomal RNA", at positions 101 to 962 of the family's 2925-position model. Lineage: Bacteria; Pseudomonadati; Pseudomonadota; Gammaproteobacteria; Enterobacterales; Enterobacteriaceae. The record is from RNAcentral.